This 25-nucleotide transfer RNA is filed under the name Allium tuberosum. RNAcentral describes it as "partial tRNA-Phe". RNAcentral also lists the same sequence under 141 other names. The record is from RNAcentral. Lineage: Eukaryota; Viridiplantae; Streptophyta; Magnoliopsida; Asparagales; Amaryllidaceae.
GUUGGGAUAGCUCAGUUGGUAGAGC